GGUUACCUCACUGGAGAGCGGCGCCCGCGGCAUGUGCGGCGUCCACCGAAGGGGCAAGCCGAGCGCCGGAGGCGCCCGGUCAAUCUCUCAGGUACCAAGGACAGCGGGGCGUCG
This 114-nucleotide non-coding RNA is filed under the name Thiomonas sp. X19. RNAcentral's name for it is "Glycine riboswitch aptamer". It matches the Rfam family "Glycine riboswitch aptamer". Rfam says of the family: This family represents the bacterial glycine riboswitch. Glycine riboswitches usually consist of two metabolite-binding aptamers domains with similar structures in tandem. The aptamers cooperatively bind glycine to regulate the expression of downstream genes. Lineage: Bacteria; Pseudomonadati; Pseudomonadota; Betaproteobacteria; Burkholderiales. The record is from Rfam by way of RNAcentral. RNAcentral also lists the same sequence under 1 other name.